Molecule: ribosomal RNA, 253 nt
Filed under: uncultured bacterium
Lineage: Bacteria
Description: partial 16S ribosomal RNA
Rfam family: Bacterial small subunit ribosomal RNA
Source: RNAcentral
UACGUAGGUGGCGAGCGUUGUCCGGAUUUACUGGGCGUAAAGGGCGUGCAGGCGGUUUGUUAAGUGCAGGGUGAAAGCUCCCGGCUCAACUGGGAGAGGUCCUUGCAUACUGGCGAACUCGAGGGAGGCAGAGGAAAGUGGAAUUCCCGGUGUAGUGGUGAUAUGCGUAGAUAUCGGGAGGAACACCUGUGGCGAAGGCGGCUCACUGGCUCGACACUGACGCUGAGGUGCGAAAGCGUGGGGAGCAAACAGG